CUUACCUUACCUUACCUUACCUUACCUUACCUUACCUUACCUUACCUUACCUUACCUUACCUUACCUUACCAUUCCUUCACCUCGCCUUAGGUUGACCCCUUCUAUCCCUCUGAUUAGGGUUACAAAAUUCUGGUAACUUUCUCAAAAGUUUUCAGAAAUCCAGGUUGGGAGAUACUUGGAAUUAGGAAUGAAUCAACUGUAAAUCCAGGUUGGGAGAUACUUGGAAUUAGGAAUGGAUCAACUGUAAAUCCAGGUUGGGAGAUACUUGGAAUUAGGAAUGAAUCAACUGUAAAUCCAGGUUGGGAGAUAUUUGGAAUUAGGAAUGGAUCAACUGUAAAUCAAGGUUGGGAGAUACUUGGAAUUAGGAAUGGAUCAACUGUAAAUCCAGGUUGGGAGAUACUUGGAAUUAGGAAUGGAUCAACUGUAAAUCCAGGUUGGGAGAUACUUGGAAUUAGGAAUGGAUCAACUGUAAAUCCAGGUUGGGAGAUACUUGGAAUUAGGAAUGGAUCAACUGUAAAUCCAGGUUGGGAGAUACUUGGAAUUAGGAAUGGAUCAACUGCAAAUCCAGGUUGGGAGAUACUUGGAAUUAGGAAUGGAUCAACUGUAAAUCCAGGUUGGGAGAUACUUGGAAUUAGGAAUGGAUCAACUGUAAAUCCAGGUUGGGAGAUACUUGGAAUUAGGAAUGGAUCAACUGUAAAUCCAGGUUGGAAGAUACUUGGAAUUAGGAAUGGAUCAACUGUAAAUCCAGGUUGGGAGAUACUUGGAAUUAGGAACGGAUAAACUGUAAUCCAGGAAUCCUACAACCAGGAUUUCUGGAAACCUGGGAUUGUUGGGAAAGUUACCAGAAUUUUGCAACCCUACUUAUGCAUCUUAUAUCAUAGCUGUAGUCUUACCGACGGACCACUCUACAGGCAGAGUUUAGUGUUAUAAUUGUAUCAUCUUUCAAAUAGAUCAAUGUAGAUUUCAUCCAAGCAUUUAGAUUUCCUCCCUUUUCCAUAUAAAUGUAAUUCUGCCAAAAAUGUCUGUCACAGACUGGACCAUAUUGCAUUUUCUGGACCAUAUUCCUCCAAUACAAACUGCCAGACCACAUUGUCUAUUGCAAAGUGUUUUAGUCUUUAUUACAGCUUUUUAAAUGUACAAAACUUAGAUUUUAAGAAUGACAGCUAUUAUCUUAGAGAUGGGGCCUUGUAUCAGUUCAGGGUUGGUCACCAGUAGUGCUGUUGUUGGAUGCAUGAUGACACCUUCCGCUACAUUGGAGUCCAGUUUGCUGUGUGUUUAUAUUAAAGUGGAUAAAUGAUGCUUCUAACUUCCAGAAUCUUCCUUCCGUCAUUCCAGUAAAUGUGUAGCAAUAAAACAGUGUGUGUUCUUCUGAAACGGAAUCUCCCCUGCCCUAUCCUGCUUGCAGUAGCAGUGUUGCCGACUGUUUUUCAGUGAGAAUCACUAUUGGCUCCUUGAUUUGUUGCUAGAAGUCCUUAGAUUACGUUUUGCCGUGAGGUCAGCUGGCUCAGUAGCUCAGCUCUGAUUGAAUAAUGCUGUUAGAGCAUCCUGAUUGGAUAGCUGUUUAUUGUAAGAGCAUCCUGAUUGGAUAGAUGUUUAUUCAUUGUAAGAGAAUCCUGAUUGGAUAGCUGUUUAUUGUAAGAGCAUCCUGAUUGGAUAUAUGUUUAUUCAUUGUAAGAGAAUCCUGAUUGGAUAGCUGUUUAUUGUAAGAGCAUCCCGAUUGGAUCGUGCUGUUAAUGAGCAUCCUGAUUGGAUAGUGCUCUUAUAAGAGCAUCCCAAUUGGAUAGUGCUCUUUAAGAGCAUCCUGAUUGGACCGUGAUGUUAACUGCAAGAGCAUCCUAAUUGGAUAGUGCUGUUAUCUGCAAGAGCAUCCUGAUUGGAUAGUGCUGUUAACUUGUAAGAGCAUCCUGAUUGGAUAGUGCUGUUAACUUGUAAGAGCAUCCUGAUUG
Oncorhynchus tshawytscha (Chinook salmon) is the source of this 1947-nucleotide long non-coding RNA. NCBI's taxonomy places the organism in Eukaryota, Metazoa, Chordata, Actinopteri, Salmoniformes, Salmonidae. The record is from Ensembl.